Molecule: long non-coding RNA, 1004 nt
Filed under: Citrus maxima (pomelo)
Lineage: Eukaryota; Viridiplantae; Streptophyta; Magnoliopsida; Sapindales; Rutaceae
Description: long non-coding RNA (CMAX_LNC000428)
Source: RNAcentral
UUGGACUGCCUUUUUUCCCUCUCUCACAUCUCUCACCAUCUCUUUCUCAAAUUUCUGAUUUCUCUGCAAGAUUUUUAUACGAAGCACAUCAAAUCGAAGCUACCUUCUCCUACACAACAAAUAACAGUCGAAUCCAUCACAAGGUUGCUGUCAUCUGGAGUAGUUGAACAUAGCUUCAUUCGUUGUCUUUCAUUUUCGAGUUAAAGACAAGGUAACGAUGUAGUCUUCACUCUUGUGCUUGUUGUGCUGACUACUGAAAAUGCCAUGCGAAACGACUGGGGGUUUAUGCCUUGCAUUAAAUUGUUUGGGCUAUUUGAAAUAAUUAGGGAUCUAUAAAUUUUGAGUAAAAUAUCUAACAUCAUUUUCAUUUUUUUCAUAUCUAACAUCAAUAAUUGAUGCCAAAUAUCUAACAUCAUUUUCAUUUUUUUCCUAAAGAUCAAACUUUUAUUAGGUGAGUCUUGGUUAAAUUGUUUGGGCUAUUUGAAAUAAUUAGGGAUCUAUAAAUUUUGAGUAAAAUAUCUAACAUCAUUUUCAUUUUUUUCAUAUCUAACAUCAAUAAUUGAUGCCAAAUAUCUAACAUCAUUUUCAUUUUUUUCCUAAAGAUCAAACUUUUAUUAGGCGAGUCGUAGUCUAAUGUUGGGUUUUUGCUUGUGCCUCAAGUUUGUUAUGCAAUGUGCAUACAAGUUCAAGUCUCCACAUGAUGCGGACAAUUUUUUUCCCCUUAAAUGUAAGUAUGGUAAUAUCUUUCCAAACGUCAGUUCCAAAUAUUAGUGGGUGCAGAUUUCUGAACUGAUCUUGUGUCAUUUGUUCAUUUUAAUUUUUCACUUUGUGUAAAGGUAAUUUUAUCUCUAUCUAUGAUGUUUGUCUACUCAUAUCUUUAAAUUUAUGGUGAUUGUGAUUAUUUAUUGAUUUAUUAUUAUUAGUUUAGUAAGUUAUUUCCUUUCAGAUCAUGGAUCCAUAUCAAGGGGAUUUCAUAUAUGCUACAAUAUAUUGACCUUUACCCG